CUCGUUAAAGUAUCGAGCCAAAAAAUUAAGCUUUUGUUCGGCUCGUUAAUAAACAAGCCAAAUACGAGUUGGCUCACGAGCUGGCCAACGAACAAUAAGUUAAAAGGAUUAGAUUGAAUAUAUAUAAAAAAUAAAUUUAUAAAAUCUUAUCCAUUAGAUUUGAUCUAAUAGUUGAAACUUUACAUAUAAAUGAGUUUUUUUAUAAUUAAGCUCUUCUUUAUAUUUUUAUUUUACUAAAAAUUAAAUAAUAAAAAUAUAUAUUAUAUAUAUAAUUAUUUAUUUAUAUAUAAAUAUAAAUUAAAUAAAUUAUAUAAAUAUAAAAUAUAUAUAUUUGAGCUGUUAUCGGGCCGAACACGAACGAGCUGACCCCAGCUCGUGUUCGGCUCGUUUAAUAAAUGAGCCGAAAAAUUCGGCUUGUGUUCGACUCGUUUACUAAACGAGCGAGUCGAUCUCGAGCUCAUUUCGAGCCAAACACGAGCUGGCUCGCGAACAGCGAGCUGGCUCACGAAUAGCGAGCUGGAUUGCCACCCCUACUUGUAACAUCCCAAUAGUCCCAUGUCCGAUGGAAAUGGACUUGUCAUUGAAUAUAUAUAAGAAGACUCUACCCUAAUAAUAAUAACCGGACUUAAGUAUUUUGAGUCAGUAGUUUUAGCCCAACAAAUUAUUAUUGAUAGCAGGUCAGGUCGUUACAUUUGGUUGAUAAUAACUGAGUUUAAGCAUUUUUAAAAGUUAGAAAAAAAAUUUAAAAAAAGAUAUUUAAAUUUUUUUUUUAUAAUUUAGCCAUAUAAAAAAUAUUCUUUUAAGAUUUUAAGUUUUUUUAAAAUAUAC
Molecule: long non-coding RNA, 828 nt
Filed under: Ananas comosus (pineapple)
Lineage: Eukaryota; Viridiplantae; Streptophyta; Magnoliopsida; Poales; Bromeliaceae
Description: long non-coding RNA (ACOM_LNC042680)
Source: RNAcentral